Molecule: ribosomal RNA, 497 nt
Filed under: uncultured bacterium
Lineage: Bacteria
Description: partial 16S ribosomal RNA
Rfam family: Bacterial small subunit ribosomal RNA
Source: RNAcentral
GAUGAACGCUGGCGGCGUGCCUAAUACAUGCCAGUCGAGCGAACGGACGAGAAGCUUGCUUCUCUGAUGUUAGCGGCGGACGGGUGAGUAACACGUGGAUAACCUACCUAUAAGACUGGGAUAACUUCGGGAAACCGGAGCUAAUACCGGAUAAUAUUUUGAACCGCAUGGUUCAAAAGUGAAAGACGGUCUUGCUGUCACUUAUGGAUGGAUCCGCGCUGCAUUAGCUAGUUGGUAAGGUAACGGCUUACCAAGGCAACGAUGCAUAGCCGACCUGAGAGGGUGAUCGGCCACACUGGAACUGAGACACGGUCCAGACUCCUACGGGAGGCAGCAGUAGGGAAUCUUCCGCAAUGGGCGAAAGCCUGACGGAGCAACGCCGCGUGAGUGAUGAAGGUCUUCGGAUCGUAAAACUCUGUUAUUAGGGAAGAACAUAUGUGUAAGUAACUGUGCACAUCUUGACGGUACCUAAUCAGAAAGCCACGGCUAACUACGUG